Molecule: ribosomal RNA, 301 nt
Filed under: uncultured bacterium
Lineage: Bacteria
Description: partial 16S ribosomal RNA
Rfam family: Bacterial small subunit ribosomal RNA
Source: RNAcentral
CAGUAGCCGCGGGAAUACGUAGGGUGCGAGCGUUAAUCGGAAUUACUGGGCGUAAAGCGUGCGCAGGCGGUUCGUUAAGACAGAUGUGAAAUCCCCGGGCUUAACCUGGGAACUGCAUUUGUGACUGACGGGCUAGAGUAUGGCAGAGGGGGGUAGAAUUCCACGUGUAGCAGUGAAAUGCGUAGAGAUGUGGAGGAAUACCGAUGGCGAAGGCAGCCCCCUGGGCCAAUACUGACGCUCAUGCACGAAAGCGUGGGGAGCAAACAGGAUUAGAUACCCCGGUAGUCCCUGUCUCUUAUAA